RNAcentral lists this ribosomal RNA (253 nucleotides) under uncultured prokaryote. RNAcentral describes it as "partial 16S ribosomal RNA". It matches the Rfam family "Bacterial small subunit ribosomal RNA", at positions 524 to 776 of the family's 1533-position model. The record is from RNAcentral.
UACGAAGGGGGCGAGCGUUGUUCGGAAUCACUGGGCGUAAAGCGUGCGUAGGCGGCGAUGAAAGUUAGAAGUGAAAGCCCAGGGCUCAACCUUGGAAUUGCUUUUAAAACUACAUCGCUCGAAUCUCGGAGAGGAUAGCGGAAUUGUCAGUGUAGCAGUGAAAUGCGUAGAUAUUGACAGGAACACCAGUGGCGUAAGCGGCUAUCUGGACGAGUAUUGACGCUGAGGCACGAAAGCGUGGGGAUCAAACAGG